CCUACGGGUGGCAGCAGUGGGGAAUAUUGGGCAAUGGGCGCAAGCCUGACCCAGCAACGCCGCGUGAAGGAAGAAGGCUUUCGGGUUGUAAACUUCUUUUAUCAGGGACGAAGCAAGUGACGGUACCUGAUGAAUAAGCCACGGCUAACUACGUGCCAGCAGCCGCGGUAAUACGUAGGUGGCAAGCGUUAUCCGGAUUUACUGGGUGUAAAGGGCGUGUAGGCGGGAGUGCAAGUCAGAUGUGAAAACUAUGGGCUCAACCCAUAGCCUGCAUUUGAAACUGUACUUCUUGAGUGCUGGAGAGGCAAUCGGAAUUCCGUGUGUAGCGGUGAAAUGCGUAGAUAUACGGAGGAAUACCGUUAGCGAAGGCGGCAAUCUGGCUGGAAACUGACGCUGAGGUGCGAAAGCGUGGGUAGCAAACAGGAUUAGAUACCCGUGUAGUC
RNAcentral lists this ribosomal RNA (443 nucleotides) under uncultured bacterium. Its description in RNAcentral is "partial 16S ribosomal RNA". It matches the Rfam family "Bacterial small subunit ribosomal RNA", at positions 338 to 795 of the family's 1533-position model. The record is from RNAcentral.